Molecule: ribosomal RNA, 579 nt
Filed under: Aspergillus sp. 2 YHY-2018
Lineage: Eukaryota; Fungi; Ascomycota; Eurotiomycetes; Eurotiales; Aspergillaceae
Description: partial large subunit ribosomal RNA
Rfam family: Eukaryotic large subunit ribosomal RNA
Source: RNAcentral
AACCAACCGGGAUUGCCUCAGUAACGGCGAGUGAAGCGGCAAGAGCUCAAAUUUGAAAGCUGGCCCCUUCGGGGUCCGCGUUGUAAUUUGCAGAGGAUGCUUCGGGUGCGGCCCCUGUCUAAGUGCCCUGGAACGGGCCGUCAGAGAGGGUGAGAAUCCCGUCUUGGGCAGGGUGCCCGUGCCCGUGUGAAGCUCCUUCGACGAGUCGAGUUGUUUGGGAAUGCAGCUCUAAAUGGGUGGUAAAUUUCAUCUAAAGCUAAAUACCGGCCGGAGACCGAUAGCGCACAAGUAGAGUGAUCGAAAGAUGAAAAGCACUUUGAAAAGAGAGUUAAACAGCACGUGAAAUUGUUGAAAGGGAAGCGCUUGCGACCAGACUCGGCCCCGGGGUUCAGCCAGCACUCGUGCUGGUGUAUUUCCCCGGGGGCGGGCCAGCGUCGGUUUGGGCGGCCGGUCAAAGGCCCCAGGAAUGUAUCGCCCUCCGGGGUUGUCUUAUAGCCUGGGGUGCAAUGCGGCCAGCCCGGACCGAGGAACGCGCUUCGGCACGGACGCUGGCGUAAUGGUCGCAAACGACCCGUCUUG